Molecule: long non-coding RNA, 992 nt
Organism: Physella acuta
Lineage: Eukaryota; Metazoa; Mollusca; Gastropoda; Physidae
Source: RefSeq, a predicted model, not a curated record
UUGGCCAUUACUUGGAGCGUGACUUGACUGAUAUAUUUAUUCAACAUAUCGAAAAGUUCCAGCGAUUGCGGACGUUUUCUCUGACCAUCCCCAUCAAAACAAGGAAAAACAAACUCUUUUUGAAAGCGUUUUGCGACAUGCUAAAAAGAAACAGUGUAUUGAAGAACGUUACUUUUAAUUUCGUGGGUCGGAGAGGUGUUGGCCGGCAACUGCUUGAGGAAAUUGACAGGCUGUUGGUAGACAUGAGAGAAUGGGUGGAGCGGGGCUUGCUCAUCACAUUCAAUUUGGAUGCAGAACGAUAGAAUGCUUGCUGGUGAUGUAUUAUCUAAUUGUCCUAAUACUCAGUCAUAAAUUCUCAUAAAGUGUUGGUGAUGUAUGAUCUACAUGUGUUGACAGUGAUUCAUAUCUGGCAUAGACAAUUUAUUUUCAAAUCUUUUUUUUAAUUUGAUAAUUGAAAAUAAAAAUAAUUUGAGCAGGAAAACUGUUUCCAAAGUGUCUUACUGCUAACAACGCUAACCUUGUCUCUCUGUCAGUCUGUUUUGUGUGUCUCAUCUAACUGGCCUUAUUUCUCCUGUUGAAAAAAAUUUCUAGCAAGUUAGCGGCAACGAACGAAUUGAAAUCGGCUCAGUUUUAAAUCUGUCGUUUAAUGGAGAGUUUUAAAUCUGAGCCAAUUUCAAUUCACAUCGUGAUCACCGCUACUCGCGUGGACCUUUUAAAGAUUCCAUAAUUUUCUUCACAGAAUCGUACGUUGUUCUAUUUUAAUUGUAUACUGAAAGAAAUUUAAAACAUUUGGCACGAGUAAAUUUCUUGAUGAUAUUUAAAUUAUUACUUAUCAGUGAAUGUAUUGUUCAUCAUAUGCACAUUUUUAUAAUGCUUCAGGUGAAAAUGCAUGUGAAAAUAGUUUUUUGUUUAAUUUUUCAUUAAUAUGAUAACUAAUUAAAAAGAAAUGUUUGUUUUUCUGAUUUUGUUUCAGAAAUAAAACAUGUAACUCA